UUAAGCGACUAAGCGUACACGGUGGAUGCCCUGGCAGUCAGAGGCGAUGAAGGACGUGCUAAUCUGCGAUAAGCGUCGGUGAGGUGAUAUGAACCGUUAUAACCGGCGAUUUCCGAAUGGGGAAACCCAGUGUGUUUCGACACACUAUCAUUAACUGAAUCCAUAGGUUAAUGAGGCGAACCGGGGGAACUGAAACAUCUAAGUACCCCGAGGAAAAGAAAUCAACCGAGAUUCCCCCAGUAGCGGCGAGCGAACGGGGAGGAGCCCAGAGCCUGAAUCAGUGUGUGUGUUAGUGGAAGCGUCUGGAAAGGCGUGCGAUACAGGGUGACAGCCCCGUACACAAAAAUGCACAUAUUGUGAGCUCGAUGAGUAGGGCGGGACACGUGGUAUCCUGUCUGAAUAUGGGGGGACCAUCCUCCAAGGCUAAAUACUCCUGACUGACCGAUAGUGAACCAGUACCGUGAGGGAAAGGCGAAAAGAACCCCGGCGAGGGGAGUGAAAAAGAACCUGAAACCGUGUACGUACAAGCAGUGGGAGCCUCUUAAUGGGGUGACUGCGUACCUUUUGUAUAAUGGGUCAGCGACUUAUAUUCUGUAGCAAGGUUAACCGAAUAGGGGAGCCGAAGGGAAACCGAGUCUUAACUGGGCGUUAAGUUGCAGGGUAUAGACCCGAAACCCGGUGAUCUAGCCAUGGGCAGGUUGAAGGUUGGGUAACACUAACUGGAGGACCGAACCGACUAAUGUUGAAAAAUUAGCGGAUGACUUGUGGCUGGGGGUGAAAGGCCAAUCAAACCGGGAGAUAGCUGGUUCUCCCCGAAAGCUAUUUAGGUAGCGCCUCGUGAAUUCAUCUCCGGGGGUAGAGCACUGUUUCGGCAAGGGGGUCAUCCCGACUUACCAACCCGAUGCAAACUGCGAAUACCGGAGAAUGUUAUCACGGGAGACACACGGCGGGUGCUAACGUCCGUCGUGAAGAGGGAAACAACCCAGACCGCCAGCUAAGGUCCCAAAGUCAUGGUUAAGUGGGAAACGAUGUGGGAAGGCCCAGACAGCCAGGAUGUUGGCUUAGAAGCAGCCAUCAUUUAAAGAAAGCGUAAUAGCUCACUGGUCGAGUCGGCCUGCGCGGAAGAUGUAACGGGGCUAAACCAUGCACCGAAGCUGCGGCAGCGACACUAUGUGUUGUUGGGUAGGGGAGCGUUCUGUAAGCCUGUGAAGGUGGCCUGUGAGGGUUGCUGGAGGUAUCAGAAGUGCGAAUGCUGACAUAAGUAACGAUAAAGCGGGUGAAAAGCCCGCUCGCCGGAAGACCAAGGGUUCCUGUCCAACGUUAAUCGGGGCAGGGUGAGUCGACCCCUAAGGCGAGGCCGAAAGGCGUAGUCGAUGGGAAACAGGUUAAUAUUCCUGUACUUGGUGUUACUGCGAAGGGGGGACGGAGAAGGCUAUGUUGGCCGGGCGACGGUUGUCCCGGUUUAAGCGUGUAGGCUGGUUUUCCAGGCAAAUCCGGAAAACCAAGGCUGAGGCGUGAUGACGAGGCACUACGGUGCUGAAGCGACAAAUGCCCUGCUUCCAGGAAAAGCCUCUAAGCAUCAGGUAACAUCAAAUCGUACCCCAAACCGACACAGGUGGUCAGGUAGAGAAUACCAAGGCGCUUGAGAGAACUCGGGUGAAGGAACUAGGCAAAAUGGUGCCGUAACUUCGGGAGAAGGCACGCUGAUAUGUAGGUGAAGCGACUUGCUCGUGGAGCUGAAAUCAGUCGAAGAUACCAGCUGGCUGCAACUGUUUAUUAAAAACACAGCACUGUGCAAACACGAAAGUGGACGUAUACGGUGUGACGCCUGCCCGGUGCCGGAAGGUUAAUUGAUGGGGUUAGCGGUAACGCGAAGCUCUUGAUCGAAGCCCCGGUAAACGGCGGCCGUAACUAUAACGGUCCUAAGGUAGCGAAAUUCCUUGUCGGGUAAGUUCCGACCUGCACGAAUGGCGUAAUGAUGGCCAGGCUGUCUCCACCCGAGACUCAGUGAAAUUGAACUCGCUGUGAAGAUGCAGUGUACCCGCGGCAAGACGGAAAGACCCCGUGAACCUUUACUAUAGCUUGACACUGAACAUUGAGCCUUGAUGUGUAGGAUAGGUGGGAGGCUUUGAAGUGUGGACGCCAGUCUGCAUGGAGCCGACCUUGAAAUACCACCCUUUAAUGUUUGAUGUUCUAACGUUGGCCCGUAAUCCGGGUUGCGGACAGUGUCUGGUGGGUAGUUUGACUGGGGCGGUCUCCUCCUAAAGAGUAACGGAGGAGCACGAAGGUUGGCUAAUCCUGGUCGGACAUCAGGAGGUUAGUGCAAUGGCAUAAGCCAGCUUGACUGCGAGCGUGACGGCGCGAGCAGGUGCGAAAGCAGGUCAUAGUGAUCCGGUGGUUCUGAAUGGAAGGGCCAUCGCUCAACGGAUAAAAGGUACUCCGGGGAUAACAGGCUGAUACCGCCCAAGAGUUCAUAUCGACGGCGGUGUUUGGCACCUCGAUGUCGGCUCAUCACAUCCUGGGGCUGAAGUAGGUCCCAAGGGUAUGGCUGUUCGCCAUUUAAAGUGGUACGCGAGCUGGGUUUAGAACGUCGUGAGACAGUUCGGUCCCUAUCUGCCGUGGGCGCUGGAGAACUGAGGGGGGCUGCUCCUAGUACGAGAGGACCGGAGUGGACGCAUCACUGGU
This 2685-nucleotide ribosomal RNA is filed under the name Escherichia coli TOP2662-2. RNAcentral's name for it is "bacterial LSU rRNA". It matches the Rfam family "Bacterial large subunit ribosomal RNA". The record is from RNAcentral. Lineage: Bacteria; Pseudomonadati; Pseudomonadota; Gammaproteobacteria; Enterobacterales; Enterobacteriaceae.